AGAGUUUGAUCAUGGCUCAGAAUCAACGCUGGCGGCGCGCUUAACACAUGCAAGUCGAACGAGAAAGGGGAGCAAUCCCUGAGUAAAGUGGCGCACGGGUGAGUAACACGUGGGUAAUCUGCCUCUGGGUGGGGAAUAACUCUGGGAAACCGGAGCUAAUACCGCAUAAGCCCCCAUUGAAGAAAUGGGUGGGAAAGGCGAAAGUCGCCGAGAGAGGAGCCCGCGGUCGAUUAGCUAGUUGGUGGGGUAAAGGCCUACCAAGGCAGUGAUCGAUAGCCGGCCUGAGAGGGCACACGGCCACACUGGCACUGAAACACGGGCCAGACUCCUACGGGAGGCAGCAGUGGGGAAUCUUGCACAAUGGGGGAAACCCUGAUGCAGCGACGCCGCGUGAGCGAUGAAGCCCUUCGGGGUGUAAAGCUCUUUCGGCAGGGACGAUGAUGACGGUACCUGAAGAAGAAGCUGCGGCUAACUACGUGCCAGCAGCCGCGGUAAUACGUAGGCAGCGAGCGUUGUUCGGAGUUACUGGGCGUAAAGAGUGCGUAGGCGGUGGUCCAAGUCUGGUGUGAAAUCUCCCGGCUCAACCGGGAGGGUGCGCCGGAAACUGGGCUGCUGGAGUGCCGGAGAGGCAGGCGGAAUUCCUGGUGUAGCGGUGAAAUGCGUAGAUAUCAGGAGGAACACCCGUGGUGUAGACGGCCUGCUGG
Molecule: ribosomal RNA, 704 nt
Filed under: uncultured bacterium
Lineage: Bacteria
Description: bacterial SSU rRNA
Rfam family: Bacterial small subunit ribosomal RNA
Source: RNAcentral